GCUGAUGCGUUGUUGGGUAGGGGAGCGUUCUGUAAGCCUGUGAAGGUGGCCUGUGAGGGUUGCUGGAGGUAUCAGAAGUGCGAAUGCUGACAUAAGUAACGAUAAAGCGGGUGAAAAGCCCGCUCGCCGGAAGACCAAGGGUUCCUGUCCAACGUUAAUCGGGGCAGGGUGAGUCGACCCCUAAGGCGAGGCCGAAAGGCGUAGUCGAUGGGAAACGGGUUAAUAUUCCCGUACUUGGUGUUACUGCGAAGGGGGGACGGAGAAGGCUAUGUUGGCCGGGCGACGGUUG
RNAcentral lists this ribosomal RNA (289 nucleotides) under Salmonella enterica. RNAcentral's name for it is "partial 23S ribosomal RNA". It matches the Rfam family "Bacterial large subunit ribosomal RNA", at positions 1213 to 1504 of the family's 2925-position model. Lineage: Bacteria; Pseudomonadati; Pseudomonadota; Gammaproteobacteria; Enterobacterales; Enterobacteriaceae. The record is from RNAcentral.